AGUGAACGCUGGCGGUAUACCUAACACAUGCAAGUCGAACGGCAGCACAGUAAGAUCUUUCUCUUACGGUUGGCGAGUGGCGGACGGGUGAGGAAUACAUCGGAAUCUACUUUUUCGUGGGUGAUAACGUAGGGAAACUUACGCUAAUACCGCAUACGACCUACGGGUUAAAUCAGGAGAUCUUCAGACCUUGCGCGAUUGAAUUAGCCGAUGUCGGAUUAGCUAGUUGGCGGGGUAAAGGCCCACCAAGGCGACGAUCCGUAGCUGGUCUGAGAGGAUGAUCAGCCACACUGGAACUGAGACACGGUCCAGACUCCUACGGGAGGCAGCAGUGGGGAAUAUUGGACAAUGGGCGAAAGCCUGACCCAGCAAUACCGCGUGGGUGAAGAAGGCCUUCGGGUCGUAAAGCCCUUUUGUUGGGAAAGAAAAGCAGCAGGUUAAUACAUCGAUGUUCUGACGGUACCCAAAGAAUAAGCAACGGCUAACUUCGUG
This 492-nucleotide ribosomal RNA is filed under the name uncultured bacterium. RNAcentral describes it as "partial 16S ribosomal RNA". It matches the Rfam family "Bacterial small subunit ribosomal RNA", at positions 29 to 507 of the family's 1533-position model. The record is from RNAcentral.